Long non-coding RNA from Papilio xuthus (Asian swallowtail), 1981 nucleotides. RefSeq lists it as uncharacterized. The record is from RefSeq and is a predicted model, not a curated record. Lineage: Eukaryota; Metazoa; Arthropoda; Insecta; Lepidoptera; Papilionidae. The transcript is spliced from 3 exons.
UUAAAAAAAUAGUAUACCUUAAUAAAAUGCGAAUAACGUACUAGAGAAUAAAUUUGUGCCCAGUUUACUGAUAAAAUAAUGCCGGAGACAGUCUGUCACUGCGGCGACGGUUAAUAAUUCAUCGCUGGAUCGUAAAAGCGGCUAAAGAUAAACAGUCUGUCACGAGUAAACGUAAAUAGGAGAAACAAUGGUCAUCGGGCGGCGUCCACUAACUAAUUUUGGCAUGUUGCGCGCAGAUGCGGCGUCUGUCGGCGUGGGAAAGUGCCUCAGUAUUGUUUGAGGAAAGGUUUGACCAAAGACUAUUCUAGAACCAUAGCCUUUAAAAAUAAAUUAAAAUACACAUUUCGUUCCCCCAUUAGUUACAACAGAUCACAAUAAAGUUAUAUAUAUAAAAAAAAGCUGUGUAGAAACGUCACAAAUGGAGUGAGUUUUACGUCUCAAUGAAUUGAAAUUAGUGAAUUCGUUUGUAAAUUUGCAAAAAAUACAUUUAUUAUAAACAUGAUUAAGUUAAAUGUAUAUCAUAUUUACAAUGAGAAGCAUGAAAACCAAAUAAUUUAAAUAAAUAAACAACCUACAAACCGCAAAAGGAUGUCAACAAUAUCGUUUAUACAUAAAACUUAUGCACUAACAAGUACGAGCGUUAUCUAAAGCAGGUGUCACUUACAACCGCAAACACUGAAAGUUUGAAAAUAAACCACAGCGUCGUAAAACUCUUAACAAAAUAAACUUAGCGAGGCGUUAAUCUCUCACGGCUAAAACAUCUGUACACGCCACCAACAAGGGGAUGAAUACUUUGUUUUAAGCUCACAUUAGUCGAGAUUAUUGCUCAUUGAUGAUUCCAUGUAACAAUAGAAUUAUUAUACAUGUACCGUGAAUUAAUAAAUCCUAUAUUAAGACCUUGUUGCACAAGCUUAUGACAGAUUAAUAGAGUUCCAAAAAGCUUUAAUAAAAAAAUCGCUUUAACUUAAUAAAAUUAAGAAUAAAAACCUAGGCUUUGAGUUGGUUGUAUACCCUUAUAUCCGUAAGCUUUAAAAAGUACUUUUUGCUUAUUUCUAGCUUCAAUAUUUUUUGCGUUUUUAAUUAGAAACUUAUAUCAUCAGGAGCGAAAAAGAUCAAUGACGCCAAUUUGUAUGAAGACGCAGGAAACGUAUUACUUACUAUGUUAGUUUUAAUCUGAAAAUGACUGCGAACGAAUCAAAGGCGGUGCGUUUGAUGUAACCAUUUUUUUAUUGCACUGUGUAUGUGGUUCAUUCAUAAAGGUACUUGUAGACAGGGUGUUCGUGUUAUCAGCAUCGGCGUCAUUAACGAGAUGAGAAAGAAGAGAUAACGGUAAGAGCACAUUUUGUUUGUGAAUGAAUUCAAACCGCCAAUAUCGCAUCGCUUCGCAGAUGUCGGGACAUGACUCAUUUCGGAUCCGGCCCUGGGUACUUUAAGCCAUUUAAAUCUAUCGCGUCUGUUCCAUUUUCGAGAAUUUCCAAUGUUAUUUUAGGUGCGCAGAUUUUAUACAAAAUUUACUAAAUAUUCUAGUUAUAUGUUUAAGUUCUGCCAAUUAAUUUUUUAGAACUAUAGAAGAUCUAAACUUAAUUUAUAAUAGCGACUAAAAAUUACGAAUUAUCCUCGCUUGUUUCGAACCUAGACAGUAAAACACACGCAAUUAAAUAAUUGUGGAUACUUUAAACCGUAGAACAAAAUGCAUUACACACUAAAAUUUAUUUUUAAAACAACUAUCAGAAAGCCGCGUGAAACAACAAGGGAAUAUAUUAAAGAUACCUGACGUAAGGAUAUGCUCGGAAUGAACGAGAAACGAUAAAUAACGCGGCAACAUCGUUCAUGUCGCGGUGGGUGAAUGUAACCAAAAUACACUUAACACACCCCUUUACAGUAAACUUAUAUUACCAAUGGUAUUUUGUUGCAAAUAAAUCCUUAUAUUACGGUGGUCUUUUACGGAAUUAUUGCAACAAACAAACAAGUAUAUAACUUA